AAGACUGCAGGCAUGUACAUUCAAGGCUCCUGUUCUAUUUGUGUUUCCUUUAGGAUCCCAUUUCCUUUGACUGUCUGCAACAGAACAACGUAUUCUCUAUCUUCAGAGAUCUGAGCCACACUGUGUGUCAGUUCUGAUGAGUGUAGCUGCGUGGAACAACAACAAAAAAAAAGCUGACCUGGCUGAAACACAUCUAACACACGCCUGGAGGUGUGCAGACCAAAGCAGCUGUGAGUGAUGGCAUGAGGGAUCCAGCCUCUUCUUUUUGUUCCCCCAUCCCUAGGCAGAGGCUGCUGUCUUAUGUGUACUGCCUAGUGGUUACAAGAUGGCUGCUCCAUCUACGCCCCAGCCGGAGCGAUGGGAGAAGGCUUGCAGGCAACACAUGGCAAGGUUGGAUGUUCUUCAUGUGCUUCAACCAAAACAACUUGGAACACCAGAUUGAAAGGAGAAGCAGAUGUAUGAAGCCACUUGUUUUCUAUCAAGCUGGACAUUAAAGGGAUUUGAAAACAUGUAAAUCAAUGCCACUCUUUUCAUUAUGAUUUAGUUUUUUCCUCCUAAAAAUAUGUUAUUUAUGUUAACAUGCGAUGGCUUCCUUAUUAUCUCUAUAUGAACUAAUAAAGUAUUUUUAAAUAUCA
Long non-coding RNA from Canis lupus familiaris (dog), 635 nucleotides. RefSeq lists it as uncharacterized. The record is from RefSeq and is a predicted model, not a curated record. The transcript is spliced from 2 exons. Lineage: Eukaryota; Metazoa; Chordata; Mammalia; Carnivora; Canidae.